RNAcentral lists this ribosomal RNA (274 nucleotides) under uncultured bacterium. RNAcentral's name for it is "partial 16S ribosomal RNA". It matches the Rfam family "Bacterial small subunit ribosomal RNA", at positions 523 to 796 of the family's 1533-position model. The record is from RNAcentral.
AUACGGAGGGGGUUAGCGUUGUUCGGAAUUAUUGGGCGUAAAGCGCACGUAGGCGGACUGGAAAGUUGGGGGUGAAAUCCCGGGGCUCAACCCCGGAACUGCCUCCAAAACUUCCAAUCUAGAGAUCGAGAGAGGUGAGUGGAAUUCCAAGUGUAGAGGUGAAAUUCGUAGAUAUUUGGAGGAACACCAGUGGCGAAGGCGGCUCACUGGCUCGAUACUGACGCUGAGGUGCGAAAGCGUGGGGAGCAAACAGGAUUAGAAACCCCAGUAGUCC